Molecule: transfer RNA, 67 nt
Filed under: Caudoviricetes sp.
Lineage: Duplodnaviria; Heunggongvirae; Uroviricota; Caudoviricetes
Description: tRNA-Asn
Rfam family: tRNA
About the family: Transfer RNA (tRNA) molecules are approximately 80 nucleotides in length. Their secondary structure includes four short double-helical elements and three loops (D, anti-codon, and T loops). Further hydrogen bonds mediate the characteristic L-shaped molecular structure. tRNAs have two regions of fundamental functional importance: the anti-codon, which is responsible for specific mRNA codon recognition, and the 3' end, to which the tRNAs corresponding amino acid is attached (by aminoacyl-tRNA synthetases). tRNAs cope with the degeneracy of the genetic code in two manners: having more than one tRNA (with a specific anti-codon) for a particular amino acid; and 'wobble' base-pairing, i.e. permitting non-standard base-pairing at the 3rd anti-codon position.
Source: RNAcentral
UUAGCUCAGCAGGUUAGAGCAUCUGACUGUUAAUCAGAGGGUCACUGGUUCAAGUCCAGUAGGGGGA